CCCAGCUGUAGGCAACUGCUUGGGUUGCCUUAUACCUAGGCAAGUGUUACAGUGCUGGGAGAGAAGCAGCUAAUAAUUGGCAGGCAUU
Ochotona princeps (American pika) is the source of this 88-nucleotide small nucleolar RNA. Its record names the gene SNORA74. It matches the Rfam family "Small nucleolar RNA SNORA74". From Rfam's summary of the family: U19 belongs to the H/ACA class of snoRNAs. snoRNAs bind a number of proteins (including dyskerin, Gar1p and Nop10p in the case of the H/ACA class) to form snoRNP complexes. The record is from Ensembl. NCBI's taxonomy places the organism in Eukaryota, Metazoa, Chordata, Mammalia, Lagomorpha, Ochotonidae.